AGGGCCGAGUGGGUUUCCAUCACGUGCUGAUUGCAAAAUAAGCAUGGGAUGGAUUAGAUUUAGCUCUGUCUCUUCUGUAAACUGAGGGAUGUUUUAAGCUCUGUUAGCAAUCUCACAGUCUUUCAUCAUCUAUGUGGGUAAAUAGCUGCCUGCCCAUGGGUUUCUCUGGGCUCAAGACAGUGUGAUGCUGAGGGUAAUCAUGGCAAGGGUGUUUUCUAACCUGAAUUCAGUUUGGCAGGUUCCCUGGCACAAGCAUGUGCCAAGUCUUCCCUCCCCUGCGGGGCCAGCUUGGUCCUGUAGGACAUCAAAACUCAUCGGGGCCAUCCCCAUCUACCUGCCUCGUCAGCGGAGUAAAUCAGCCCAUAAGCUUGUAAAGCAAAGAUGUGCUGAGAUGGAGCAUCCUCCUGCAAUGCCCCCAUGUUGUUCACUGUGGGGCUGCACUGCUACUGGGGAAUGCAUCAUCCCAGCAGCUCUUCUACGAGAUCCAUUGGCCAUACAUCAACACAAGAGCAUCGUAUAUUACCUGAGCGAGCUGUAGCUCUCACACCGCAUUACACCAAUCCAUCACUGAAGCAAGCUGUUGCUCUCAUGAUAUAUUAGUAUAAUAAUCUGAGCAGAGCAUACCAAUGAUAAAUUACUCAAAAGAUGGCACCAUUUAUGGAAGCAAGGUUCCAGCAAGAUAUUCAGUGUAAUUACAGGCUGCUGGCUGACUUCUAGUGGCAAGAAAGUCAGCCAACGUACCUGGAUACAGCAGGAGCUGCUUUCCCAGUUGGGGUUGGAAACACCAGUAUAGAAACAGGCUUUCUGUUCAUCUAGUGGUGAAUGUUCUCUUCUCCUUAGCUGCAGUGAGCUGUUUUAAAUCUGUGCUGGUCACUUGGUGGAAAGGUCUAGAUAGCAGUUUUCCUAGGGAACACUCCUAGCACAGAGCAGCUUCUUCCUAGGCCCAGGUUUCUGUUCCUGCUGUUCUCUGUGAAUAGUUCCUCCAUCCUGUGAUUUGCAUUAGGACAAGGAUAACUAUUUCUUGUAACUCAUCCUUAGAAAUAACCUGCAUUUAUCCCUGGUUUCGUGUCGUGCUGUGGGACUUUGGUGCACUGAUGGUGUUUUGUCACUCAACUCAGUAAAUAUGGGAAGAGGCUGAUUUUUGCCCUCUUGAAUAUUUGGUUGGUUACGUUGCAUUGUAUCACGAGAAGAAAACUGUUUGCCAAAUAUUUCACAUUUAUGACGGGCACUGUACUUUUGCAGCAUACAAUUGGCAGUGUUACAUCCCAGCUUUCCGAAUCCCUGCUCAUCUUGGCUUUUUACAGGAGCAAAUUAAUUGUUCCUCAGGAGAACAAAAUUAAAGCAUUCGAAUAAAGGAAAAAAAAAAAAAAAACAUAGGUUGUAGAAAGGGAAGGGAACAAUACUUCUUGUUGCCUCUGACUUCUGUGAGGCAGUGAGCCACAUUUCUGACCUGGAUGUGAUGAUCUUACGGGAGAAGAAUAGAGCUGAGGCAUCGCCUUUCAAAUGAAGGGCGAUGGAAUAAUGGAACAGCCUGGGGGAGGCUUUAGCUCCUUCAAUUCUGGUAUUUCUUUUUUCCCCAAAUAGAUGCAUGAACUUAUGUUUAACGUUAUAAUACCUAUAAUAAUAAUUAAUAUCUCCAGUGCUUCUCUCCAAGGUCUUGAAGUGACUUCACAGGCAAUUAGUCCCGCGAGGCUCUAAGUAUUAACGCUGUCCUUUGUGCGGAUGAGAUCUGAAGGAAAAAGAGCCUAAUUGGCUGAACGAAACCCAUUAAAGUAAAUGGGAUGUAGGACCUGUGACUUUGAGUCUGCUCACGGUGGCUCGGAGCAGCAGCGUGCCAACGUCCCAAGCCCUUCUCCAUCCAUCUUUCCCUCGGGCUCUGGUGCUACACAUAUCUGGUACGGAAGAGAAGGGACAAGAGUCACUCUGUCACUGUAGGAAGAAAAGGAAAAGCCUUUGGAGAGCUGCUCCCACUUCCUUUCAGCUGAAACGAGGGGAGUGGAUUCCAAUGUGUGUUGCUCCAGGAGAAAUCACAGCCUGAUGCUGUUGGUGCGAACUGCCCACCUCUCCAUCAGCCUGGCCAGAAAAUUAAGGAAUGCUUUGUUUGAGUGAAUCCCUGUGUUUCAGUCUCUCCACACAAGCCCCUGUGCACAGCUUCCUUUGGACCCACGUUUUAUGAGAGAGGUGAGUGGGGAGGAGGUAAUGCCCCUAUAGCCGUAGCCCCUGGACUAUCCUAAACAGGGAUCAGGAGCUGCUGCUGGUGAGCUGAGCCAUAGGAAGGUGGCACCCACAGCAAUGCACCUUCACUGCAGUGCUUUGGGGGAAUACAGCACUAACC
This 2335-nucleotide long non-coding RNA is filed under the name Gallus gallus (chicken). Lineage: Eukaryota; Metazoa; Chordata; Aves; Galliformes; Phasianidae. The record is from RNAcentral.